AUGCAAGUCGAGCGAAUGAUCCCUUCGGGGAGAUUUAUCGGCGGACGGGUGAGUAACACGUGGGCAACCUGCCUUAAUGAGGGGGAUAGCCUGACAAAAGGAAGAUUAAUACCCCAUAAUAUUAUAUUGUCGCAUGAUAGAAUAAUCAAAGAUUUAUCGCAUUAAGAUGGGCCCGCGGCGCAUUAUCUAGUUGGUGAGGUAACGGCUCACCAAGGCCACGAUGCGUAGCCGACCUGAGAGGGUGAUCGGCCACAUAGGGACUGAGACACGGCCCAGACUCCUACGGGAGGCAGCAGUGGGGAAUAUUGCACAAUGGGGGAAACCCUGAUGCAGCAACGCCGCGUGAGUGAUGAAAGUCUGCGGAUUGUAAAGCUCUGUCUUCGGGGACGAUAAUGACGGUACCCAAGGAGGAAGCCGCGGCUAACUACGUGCCAGCAGCCGCGGUAAUACGUAGGUGGCAAGCGUCGUCCGGAAUCAUCGGGCGUAAAGGAUGCGUAGGCGGAUAUAUAAGUCA
Molecule: ribosomal RNA, 514 nt
Filed under: uncultured Clostridium sp.
Lineage: Bacteria; Bacillati; Bacillota; Clostridia; Eubacteriales; Clostridiaceae
Description: bacterial SSU rRNA
Rfam family: Bacterial small subunit ribosomal RNA
Source: RNAcentral